Triticum aestivum (bread wheat) is the source of this 1149-nucleotide RNA transcript. It is a transcript of the gene named serine/arginine repetitive matrix protein 1-like, with no coding region annotated. The transcript has 3 exons. The record is from RefSeq and is a predicted model, not a curated record. Lineage: Eukaryota; Viridiplantae; Streptophyta; Magnoliopsida; Poales; Poaceae.
CCCUGCCCCACAGCCGAGCGCCGCCCGACCCCGCCUCCAUCGACCCCGCGCCGCUGCGCCACCUCGCCUCCGCCCGCCGGUGCGUGCCGCCACCUCACCGGACCCAGGAGGCCCGCCGCCUCACGCUGCCGCCUGCGCCGCCACCUCCCCACAAGCUCGCCGCCCCACCGCGGAAGCCUUGUCGCCGGUCGCCCCGACCUCGAGAUCCGCCGCCGCCAUGGGAGCCGAGCACCGAGCUCCUCUGCGCCCCGCCCGCGUCCCCGCGUCGCCCCCACCUCCCCACAAGCUCGCCGCCCCGCCGCGGAAGCCUCGUCGCCGGUCGCCCCGACCUCGAGAUCCGCCGCCGCCAUGGGAGCCGAGCAUCGAGCUCCUCUGCGCCCCGCCCGCGUCCCCGUGUCGCCGCCGCCGCCCCACGCUGCCUCGCGGCCGUUGCGCCGCUGUAUGUUGUGCUCAAGACCGGGCUUUCUUCUAUUCCCCUUUCCAAGUCUUCCUCUCAUCUUAUCCAUUGGAGGCCGCAGCCGUCAUGUCGCUGCUGCUGCUGGUGGCGUGAUUGCCAUCGCUGUGAGAUUGCUGCUGUUCUUGGCGCCGCUUCUCGUCGUGGCCGCUGCCGUGUGGAGGCUGCUCCCGCUCCCCUGCUCCUUGCGUCGUCGUGGCCGCCGCCGCUGCCGGUGGAGCACGGGCUGCUGCUGGCCAUCGGCCCACCCCCGCUCUGUUGCUUCUCCAACUCCUUGUGUCACUCUUGGUUCGAUCUUUAGCGCUGGAGCAACAUAGUUCCUGUAGGUGGGUUAGCAUCUUGGCUGGAUUGUUUGAUGUGGCCUGUUUUGCUUGUUCAGGUAAAUCCUGAGGACGACAUGCAUGGGAGUCUUGGGAGUAGCAUCCUCCUUGCCGCACGAGCCUCCUCCUUGCUGCAUGGGCCUCCUCCUUGCCGGAGUGAUGCCCCUCACCGGAGCAGCGCCGACCAAGCCCAUCGGCCACCAGGUUGGAAGAAAAGAAGAAGAUCCAGAGAAGAUCUUAGUGAUAAGAUAGUUUUGACUUGGUGAAACUUGCUACCUAUGGAUGAAACUGUGUAAUAUUGAUGAAACUAUGUAUAUGCAUGUAUGGAUGAAACUUGCUACUAUUUGUAAUAUGUGUUGGAUAUAUAUGUGUUCA